This 498-nucleotide ribosomal RNA is filed under the name uncultured bacterium. RNAcentral's name for it is "partial 16S ribosomal RNA". It matches the Rfam family "Bacterial small subunit ribosomal RNA", at positions 30 to 523 of the family's 1533-position model. The record is from RNAcentral.
AUUGAACGCUGGCGGCAUGCUUUACACAUGCAAGUCGAACGGUAACAGGCCGCAAGGUGCUGACGAGUGGCGAACGGGUGAGUAAUGCAUCGGAACGUGCCCAGUCGUGGGGGAUAACGCAGCGAAAGCUGUGCUAAUACCGCAUACGAUCUAUGGAUGAAAGCGGGGGACCGUAAGGCCUCGCGCGAUUGGAGCGGCCGAUGUCAGAUCAGGUAGUUGGUGGGGUAAAGGCUCACCAAGCCAACGAUCUGUAGCUGGUCUGAGAGGCCGACCAGCCACACUGGGACUGAGACACGGCGCGGACUCCGACGGGAGGCAGCAGUGUGGAAUUUUGGACAAUGGGCGGAAGCCUGAUCCAGCAAUGCCGCGUGCAGGAAGAAGGCCUUCGGGUUGUAAACUGCUUUUGUACGGAACGAAACGGCGAGCUCUAAUACAGUUUGCUAAUGACGGUACCGUAAGAAUAAGCACCGGCUAACUACGUGCCAGCAGCCGCCGCUG